AAUACUGGACAUUGUGGGCAACCCUGAUCCAGCAUUGCCGUGUGUGUGAAGAAGGUCUUCGGUUUGUAAAGCACUCUAAGUUGGGAGGAAGGUUUUUAGGUUACUACCCUUAUGUUUUGUCGUUACCGACAGAUUAAGCACCUGCUAACUCUGUGCCAGCAGCCCCGGUAAUACAGAGGGUGCAAGCGUUAAUAGGAAUUACGGGGCGUAAAGCGCGCGUAGAUGGUUCAGUAAAAUGGGUGUGAAAUCCCAGAGCUUAACCUGGGAACUGCUUUCAUAACUGCUGAGCUAGAGUACGGUAGAGAGUAGUGGAAUUUCCUGUGUAGCGGUGAAAUGCGUAGAUAUAGGAAGGAACACCAGUGGCGAAGGCGAAUACCUGGACUGAUACUGACACUGGAGUGCGAAAGCGUGGGGAGCAAACA
RNAcentral lists this ribosomal RNA (422 nucleotides) under uncultured bacterium. RNAcentral describes it as "partial 16S ribosomal RNA". It matches the Rfam family "Bacterial small subunit ribosomal RNA", at positions 360 to 774 of the family's 1533-position model. The record is from RNAcentral.